CAGCCGCCACGGUAAUACAGAGGGUGCGAGCGUUAAUCGGAUUUACUGGGCGUAAAGCGUGCGUAGGCGGCUUCUUAAGUCGGAUGUGAAAUCCCUGAGCUUAACUUAGGAAUUGCAUUCGAUACUGGGAAGCUAAAGUAUGGGAGAGGAUGGUAGAAUUCCAGGUGUAGCGGUGAAAUGCGUAGAGAUCUGGAGGAAUACCGAUGGCGAAGGCAGCCAUCUGGCCUAAUACUGACGCUGAGGUACGAAAGCAUGGGGAGCAAACAGGAUUAGAUACCCGCGUAGUCCCUGUCUCUUAUAC
RNAcentral lists this ribosomal RNA (301 nucleotides) under uncultured bacterium. RNAcentral describes it as "partial 16S ribosomal RNA". It matches the Rfam family "Bacterial small subunit ribosomal RNA", at positions 509 to 807 of the family's 1533-position model. The record is from RNAcentral.